RNAcentral lists this non-coding RNA (203 nucleotides) under Bacillus methanolicus MGA3. Lineage: Bacteria; Bacillati; Bacillota; Bacilli; Caryophanales; Bacillaceae. The record is from RNAcentral.
ACUGAAUAGAUGGCAAGAAACGUAUAACCUGGAUGUGCACCUAACGCCCAGAGAAAUAAACCCAUUACAUGAAUUGAGAAAAUAAACGGAUCGAAGGUAUUUAUAACCCCCAGUGCGACCCAUUUCGACGAAAAUGGACGCAAAGCCUGCGUGCCGUAGGCAUUAAAUAUGUCGACAAAAACAUGAAGGAAAACAGCCACAAA